Molecule: ribosomal RNA, 253 nt
Filed under: uncultured bacterium
Lineage: Bacteria
Description: partial 16S ribosomal RNA
Rfam family: Bacterial small subunit ribosomal RNA
Source: RNAcentral
UACGUAGGAGACGAGCGUUGUCCGGAAUUACUGGGCGUAAAGCGCGUGUAGGCGGAUGGGCAAGUCUGCUGUGAAAGCUCCUGGCUUAACCGGGAGUGGUCGGUGGAAACUGCCAAUCUGGAGGACGGUAGAGGUAGGUAGAAUUCCCGGUGUAGUGGUGAAAUGCGUAGAGAUCCGGAGGAAGACCGGUGGCGAAGGCGGUCUGCUGGGCAGUUUCUGACACUGAUGCGCGACAGCGUGGGGAGCAAACAGG